This is a non-coding RNA of Blastopirellula marina DSM 3645, 97 nucleotides long. NCBI's taxonomy places the organism in Bacteria, Pseudomonadati, Planctomycetota, Planctomycetia, Pirellulales, Pirellulaceae. The record is from Rfam.
AAGAGUGACCCUCGCAGAGGGGAACCGGCAACCUGGUCAGGCCUUAACUGGAGCAGCCAUACCCGGGGUACUCUGGUGCGGGGGUCUCUCCUCGACA